Molecule: long non-coding RNA, 206 nt
Organism: Amphimedon queenslandica
Lineage: Eukaryota; Metazoa; Porifera; Demospongiae; Haplosclerida; Niphatidae
Exons: 2
Source: RefSeq, a predicted model, not a curated record
UGAUCAUUUUAUUGUUACUGGAUCUGGAGACAAGAAGGCUACAGUGUAUGAAGUUAUACUAUGAGUAGGUGAUAUUUGACUUGUAAUGAAUAAUGCAAUCUACACUUGAGUUUAGUCUCUUUGUUGCAAGUACUGACUACAAAACUCUCAUGUAAUAUAAAAUCUCUAAUAAUUCCAGUUAAGAUAUUGUUUGUCAUGUUUGCUAU